AAACCAACAGGGAUUACCUUAGUAACGGCGAGUGAAGCGGUAAAUGCUCAAAUUUGAAAGCUGCCAACAGGCCGCGUUGUAAUUUGUAGAAGAUGCUUUGGGUGUCGGCCCAGUCUAAGUUCCUUGGAACAGGACGUCAUAGAGGGUGAGAAUCCCGUAUGUGAUUGGUGCCGUCCCCCGUGUAAAGCUCUUUCGACGAGUCGAGUUGUUUGGGAAUGCAGCUCAAAAUGGGUGGUAAAUUUCAUCUAAAGCUAAAUAUUGGCCAGAGACCGAUAGCGCACAAGUAGAGUGAUCGAAAGAUGAAAAGCACUUUGGAAAGAGAGUUAAACAGUACGUGAAAUUGUUGAAAGGGAAGCGCUUGCAAUCAGACUUGCAGGCGGUCGAUCAUCCGAGGUUCUCCCCGGUGCACUCGAUCGUCUUCAGGCCAGCAUCGGUUUCUGUGGUGGGAUAAAGGCUGUGAGAACGUAGCUCUUCGGAGUGUUAUAGCUCACGGUGCAAUGCCGCCUACGGGGACCGAGGACCGCGCUUCGGCUAGNAUGCUGGCGUAAUGGUUGUAAGCGAC
RNAcentral lists this ribosomal RNA (562 nucleotides) under Helotiales sp. OTU12 TS-2013. RNAcentral's name for it is "eukaryotic LSU rRNA". It matches the Rfam family "Eukaryotic large subunit ribosomal RNA", at positions 62 to 648 of the family's 3401-position model. The record is from RNAcentral. Lineage: Eukaryota; Fungi; Ascomycota; Leotiomycetes; Helotiales.